This 253-nucleotide ribosomal RNA is filed under the name uncultured bacterium. Its description in RNAcentral is "partial 16S ribosomal RNA". It matches the Rfam family "Bacterial small subunit ribosomal RNA", at positions 524 to 776 of the family's 1533-position model. The record is from RNAcentral.
UACGUAGGGUGCAAGCGUUGUCCGGAAUUAUUGGGCGUAAAGAGCUCGUAGGCGGUCUGUCGCGUCUGCUGUGAAAACUCGGGGCUUAACCCCGGGCCUGCAGUGGGUACGGGCAGACUAGAGUGCGGUAGGGGAGACUGGAAUUCCUGGUGUAGCGGUGAAAUGCGCAGAUAUCGGGAGGAACACCGGUGGCGAAGGCGGCGAUCUGGGUAGAUACUGACGCUGAGGUGCGAAAGCAUGGGGAGCGAACAGG